AGAGUUUGAUCCUGGCUCAGAAUGAACGUUGGCGGCGUGGAUUAGGCAUGCAAGUCGGACGCUCCGUAAGGGGCGUGGCGUAAGGGUGAGUAAGGCGACGGUAACCAACCUCGGGGUCGGGUAUAGCCGCGGGAAACCGCGGGUAAUCCCCGGUAACGCCGCGGUGCCGGCAUCGGCACUCGGCCAGAGGUGUGAUUCCGCCCCGAGACGGGCCGUCGUGGUAUUAGCUGGUUGGCGGGGUGACGGCCCACCAAGGCUGCGAUGCCUACCGGGCGUGCGAGCGUGGCCCGGCACACUGGGACUGAGACACUGCCCAGACUCCUACGGGAGGCUGCAGUCGAGAAUCUUCGGCAAUGGGCGCAAGCCUGACCGAGCGACGCCGCGUGGAGGACGAAGGCCUUCGGGUUGUAAACUCCUGUCGAGGGGGAGGAAAAGGCGGUGCAGAGCCGCCCGUGACCGAUCCCUGGAGGAAGCACGGGCUAAGUUCGUG
RNAcentral lists this ribosomal RNA (490 nucleotides) under uncultured Singulisphaera sp. Its description in RNAcentral is "bacterial SSU rRNA". It matches the Rfam family "Bacterial small subunit ribosomal RNA", at positions 8 to 507 of the family's 1533-position model. Lineage: Bacteria; Pseudomonadati; Planctomycetota; Planctomycetia; Isosphaerales; Isosphaeraceae. The record is from RNAcentral.